AGUAAAAUAAGCUAAUUAAGCUUUUGGGCCCAUACCCCAAAAAUGUUGGUUAACCCCCCUCUUUUACUA
This 69-nucleotide transfer RNA is filed under the name Stereochilus marginatus (many-lined salamander). RNAcentral's name for it is "tRNA-Met". The record is from RNAcentral. Lineage: Eukaryota; Metazoa; Chordata; Amphibia; Caudata; Plethodontidae.